CCCUUAGAUGUUCUGGGCCGCACGCGUGCUGCACUGAGUGGAUCAGCGGGUCAGGUUGCGCGAAAGCGUUUCCUAAUCUUUAAAUCCGCUCGUGAUGGGGAUUGACGGUUGCAAUUUUCUGUCAUGAACGAGGAAUACCUUGUAAGCGCGGGUCAUCAUCCCGCGCUGAAUACGUCCCUGCCCUUUGUACACACCGCCCGUCGCUCCUACCGAUUGAGUGGUCCGGUGAGGCUUUGGGAUCUGAGCGGAAAGAGCGUUUCGCCGUUUCUGCUCGGAAAACUCAGUCGAACCUUAUCAUUUAGAGGAAGGAGAAGUCGUAACA
RNAcentral lists this ribosomal RNA (322 nucleotides) under uncultured eukaryote. RNAcentral describes it as "partial 18S ribosomal RNA". It matches the Rfam family "Eukaryotic small subunit ribosomal RNA", at positions 1470 to 1796 of the family's 1831-position model. The record is from RNAcentral.